UUAGAGAGGAUGAAUGGCAGGUUAGAGAGGAUGAAUGGUAGGUUAGAGAGGAUGAAUGGUAGGUUAGAGAGGAUGAAUGGCAGGUUAGAGAGGAUGAAUGGUAGGUUAGAGAGUAUGAAUGGCAGGUUAGGUUAGAGACGAUGAAUGUUAGGUUAGAGAGGAUGAAUGGUAGGUUAGAGACGAUGAAUGUUAGGUUAGGUUAGAGAGGAUGGAUGGUAGGUUAGAGAGGAUGGAUGGUAGGUUAGAGAGGAUGAAUGGUAGGUUAGAGAGGAUGAAUGGCAGGUUAGAGAGGAUGAAUGGUAGGUUAGAGACGAUGAAUGUUAGGUUAGGUUAGAGAGGAUGGAUGGUAGGUUAGAGAGGAUGAAUGGUAGGUUAGAGACGAUAAAUGUUAGGUUAGAGACGAUGAAUGUUAGGUUAGGUUAGAGAGGAUGGAUGGUAGGUUAGAGAGGAUGGAUGGUAGGUUAGAGAGGAUGAAUGGUAGGUUAGAGACGAUAAAUGUUAGGUUAGAGACGAUGAAUGUUAGGUUAGGUUAGAGAGGAUGGAUGGUAGGUUAGAGAGGAUGGAUGGUAGGUUAGAGAGGAUGAAUGGUAGGUUAGAGAGGAUGAAUGGUAGGUUAGAGACGAUAAAUGUUAGGUUAGAGACGAUGAAUGUUAGGUUAGGUUAGAGAGGAUGGAUGGUAGGUUAGAGAGGAUGGAUGGUAGGUUAGAGAGGAUGAAUGGUAGGUUAGAGAGGAUGAAUGGUAGGUUAGAGACGAUAAAUGUUAGGUUAGAGACGAUGAAUGUUAGGUUAGGUUAGAGAGGAUGGAUGGUAGGUUAGAGAGGAUGGAUGGUAGGUUAGAGAGGAUGAAUGGUAGGUUAGAGACGAUGAAUGUUAGGUUAGGUUAGAGAGGAUGAAUGGUAGGUUAGAGAGGAUGGAUGGUAGGUUAGAGACGAUAAAUGUUAGGUUAGAGACGAUGAAUGUUAGGUUAGGUUAGAGAGGAUGGAUGGUAGGUUAGAGAGGAUGAAUGGUAGGUUAGAGAGGAUGGAUGGUAGGUUAGAGAGGAUGAAUGGUAGGUUAGAGAGGAUGAAUGGUAGGUUAGAGACGAUGAAUGUUAGGUUAGAGAGGAUGGAUGGUAGGUUAGAGAGGAUGAAUGGUAGGUUAGAGAGGAUGAAUGGCAGGUUAGAGAGGAUGAAUGGCAGGUUAGAGAGUAUGAAUGGCAGGUUAGAGAGGAUGAAUGGCAGGUUAGAGAGGAUGAAUGGCAGGUUAGGUUAGAGAUGAUGAAUGUUAGGUUAGAGAGGAUGAAUGGCAGGUUAGAGAGGAUGAAUGGCAGGUUAGAGAGGAUGAAUGGCAGGUUAGAGAGGAUGAAUGGCAGGUUAGAGAGGAUGAAUGGCAGGUUAGAGAGGAUGAAUGGCAGGUUAGAGAGGAUGAAUGGUAGGUUAGAGAGGAUGAAUGGCAGGUUAGAGAGGAUGAAUGGCAGGUUAGAGAGGAUGAAUGGUAGGUUAGAGAGGAUGAAUGGUAGGUUAGAGAGGAUGAAUGGUAGGUUAGAGAGGAUGAAUGGCAGGUUAGAGAGGAUGAAUGGCAGGUUAGAGAGGAUGGAUGGUA
This is a long non-coding RNA of Xyrauchen texanus (razorback sucker), 1581 nucleotides long. RefSeq lists it as uncharacterized. The transcript is spliced from 3 exons. Lineage: Eukaryota; Metazoa; Chordata; Actinopteri; Cypriniformes; Catostomidae. The record is from RefSeq and is a predicted model, not a curated record.